Molecule: ribosomal RNA, 237 nt
Filed under: uncultured bacterium
Lineage: Bacteria
Description: partial 16S ribosomal RNA
Rfam family: Bacterial small subunit ribosomal RNA
Source: RNAcentral
UGAGUAACCUGCCCUUAACUCUGGGAUAAGCCUGGGAAACUGGGUCUAAUACCGGAUAUGACUCCUCAUCGCAUGGUGGGAGGUGGAAAGCUUUAUUGUGGUUUUGGAUGGACUCGCGGCCUAUCAGCUUGUUGGUGAGGUAAUGGCUUACCAAGGCGACGACGGGUAGCCGGCCUGAGAGGGUGACCGGCCACACGUGGGACUGAGACACGGCCCAAAACUCCUACAGGGAGGCAG